Molecule: long non-coding RNA, 414 nt
Filed under: Equus caballus (horse)
Lineage: Eukaryota; Metazoa; Chordata; Mammalia; Perissodactyla; Equidae
Description: lncRNA (ENSECAG00000047086.1)
Source: RNAcentral
UCAGCCUCUAAUGCCAGUGUCUCGUAGCUGACUUCCAUUCCUUUUCCCAAUGAAAAUAGAUGAGAAAAUGGUCAGGACCAAGGAAAGGUGCCAUCUCCUGGGAAAGGACUCCCAGGAUCACCACGGCUUAGCCUACAGCUCACUAACAGGUCACCCCCCAUUCUGCUCUUUCCUCUUCACUGUGCUGAAUCCUUCUGAUUGGUUACCCAGGAAUUUCUGCAAUUUCAACUUCGCUUAGCAGACAAAUAUUGAGUUCAUGUUUCAACUAUCUAGCCAAGCAAAGAAUGGGGACUAUUCUCAUCUUGUUGAGCUACAAAUGGAAUCUAGGCUUUCCUCUAUUUCACUCAUCUUAAAAAUAUGUCCCUUCCACGAUGUUGUGGCACCCUAAGAAUCCAUUCCUACAUAUGUUCCAAG